CACAAUGUUGUCUAUUCUAUUAGGUGGCUGAGGAGGGCUCAACUAAACACAACUGUGAAAAAUCUUAGCCUACUCAUCAAUUGCUUUUAUGAAGUGUGAAUUGGUAGAUAUGUCAAGUACCAGAGUACCAGAGGUCAUAUGGUCUCUCUGGUGUGACUACUGAACUCUUUUAUCAUAGAAGCCUCCACAGGCGCCAUUUGUACUAUUCCCUCCCUAAUGCCUCGUAUUCUAUCACCAGACCUGCCCACUCUCCCUCUUGCACAUAAAUGCACCCACUUCACUCCAUUCCCAUUGUCCUUACCCUGGUCAGGCCCCAUCCUCUCUCACGUGGCGCGGGCAGCAGCCGGGCAGGCACGCUCCUGGCCCGGGCGAAGCAGAUAAAGCGUGCCAAGGGGCACACGACUUGCUGCUCAGGAAAUCCCCGCGGUCUCACCGCCGCGCCUCGAGAGAGAGCGUGACAGAGGCCCCGGACCCCAUUCUCUCUUCUUUUCUCCUUUGGGGCUGGGGCAACUCCCAGGCGGGGGCGCCUGCAGCUCAGCUGAACUUGGCGACCAGAAGCCCACUGAGCUCCCCACGGCCCUCGCUGCUCAUCGCUCUCUAUUCUUUUGCGCCGGUAGAAAGGUAAUAUUUGGAGGCCUCCGAGGGACGGGCAGGGGAAAGAGGGAUCCUCUGACCCAGCGGGGGCUGGGAGGAUGGCUGUUUUUGUUUUUUCCCACCUAGCCUCGGAAUCGCGGACUGCGCCCAGUGACGGACUCAAACUUACCCUUC
Molecule: long non-coding RNA, 768 nt
Filed under: Pan troglodytes (chimpanzee)
Lineage: Eukaryota; Metazoa; Chordata; Mammalia; Primates; Hominidae
Description: long non-coding RNA NONPTRT002210
Source: RNAcentral